UUGGAGGGCAAGUCUGGUGCCAGCAGCCGCGGUAAUUCCAGCUCCAAUAGCGUAUAUUAAAGUUGUUGCAGUUAAAAAGCUCGUAGUUGAAUUUCGGGGUUAGUAGGUUGGUCAUGCCUCUGGUAUGUACUGGUCUCACUGAUUCCUCCUUCCUGAUGAACCGUAAUGCCAUUAAUUUGGUGUUGCGGGGAAUUUGGACUGUUACUUUGAAAAAAUUAGAGUGUUUAAAGCAAGCUAACGCUUGGAUACAUUAGCAUGGAAUAAUGAAAUAGGACGUUCGAUCCUAUUUUGUUGGUUUCUAGGAUUGACGUAAUGAUUAAUAGGGAUAGUUGGGGGCAUUAGUAUUCAAUUGUCAGAGGUGAAAUUCUUGGAUUUAUUGAAGACUAACUACUGCGAAAGCAUUUGCCAAGGAUGUUUUCAUUAAUCAAGAACGAAAGUUAGGGGAUCGAAGACGAUCAGGUACCGUCGUAGUCUUAACCAUAAACUAUGCCGACUAGGGAUCGGAUGAUGUUAAUUUUUUAAUGUCUCAUUCGGCGCCUUACGGGAAAC
This 549-nucleotide ribosomal RNA is filed under the name Glomus sp. C/1-12. RNAcentral's name for it is "SSU rRNA". It matches the Rfam family "Eukaryotic small subunit ribosomal RNA", at positions 548 to 1098 of the family's 1831-position model. The record is from RNAcentral. Lineage: Eukaryota; Fungi; Glomeromycota; Glomeromycetes; Glomerales; Glomeraceae.